This is a non-coding RNA of Pelobates cultripes (western spadefoot toad), 229 nucleotides long. The record is from the annotation of a GenBank genome assembly. Lineage: Eukaryota; Metazoa; Chordata; Amphibia; Anura; Pelobatidae.
ACACGAUUCCAGCACAGAGUAUACACUACACCUCCAAUGGAGAGCAUGCACAGCAGGCAGUCCCCAAGGAAAGCACUGAACCAAUAAGUUCCUAUGGAGAUUUCACUACCACUGAAUGUCCUCAUGUUUGACUUCCAGCAAAAUCCCAGAAUCUCAAGAAUUGCAGUGUUUCACUUAACGACAAGUAAACUGCACCUAGACUAUUUAAAUGCGUGGAAGUGGUCUGGGU